Molecule: ribosomal RNA, 465 nt
Filed under: uncultured bacterium
Lineage: Bacteria
Description: partial 16S ribosomal RNA
Rfam family: Bacterial small subunit ribosomal RNA
Source: RNAcentral
GAUGAACGCUGGCGGCGUGCUUAACACAUGCAAGUCGAACGGAAAGGCUCCUGCUUGCAGGGGUACUCGAGUGGCGAACGGGUGAGUAACACGUGGGUGAUCUGCCCUGCACUUCGGGAUAAGCCUGGGAAACUGGGUCUAAUGCCGGAUAGGACGAUGGUUUGGAUGCCAUUGUGGAAAGUUUUUCGGUGUGGGAUGAGCUCGCGGCCUAUCAGCUUGUUGGUGGGGUAAUGGCCUACCAAGGCGUCGACGGGUAGCCGGCCUGAGAGGGUGUACGGCCACAUUGGGACUGAGAUACGGCCCAGACUCCUACGGGAGGCAGCAGUGGGGAAUAUUGCACAAUGGGCGCAAGCCUGAUGCAGCGACGCCGCGUGGGGGAUGACGGCCUUCGGGUUGUAAACUCCUUCCGCUAGGGACGAAGCGCAAGUGACGGUACCUGGAGAAGAAGCACCGGCUAACUACGUG